Bison bison bison is the source of this 120-nucleotide ribosomal RNA. The record is from Ensembl. NCBI's taxonomy places the organism in Eukaryota, Metazoa, Chordata, Mammalia, Artiodactyla, Bovidae.
GUCUCAGGCCGUAUCAGCCUGAAGGCGCCCGAUCUCGUCUGAUCUCGGAAGCUAAGCAGGGUCGGGCCUGGUUGGUAUCUUGGAUGGGAGACCACCUGGGAAUCCCGGGUGCUCGAGGCU